UACGGGGGGGGCAAGCGUUGUUCGGAAUUACUGGGCGUAAAGGGCUCGUAGGCGGCCAACUAAGUCGGACGUGAAAUCCCCAGGCUCAACCUGGGAACUGCGUCUGAUACUGGAUGGCUUGAAUCCGGGAGAGGGAUGCAGAAUUCCAGGUGUAGCGGUGAAAUGCGUUGAUAUCAUCAGGAACACCGGAGGCGAAGGCGGCUCACUGGGGGUCUUCUGACGCUGAGGAACGAAAGCCAGGGGAGCGAACGGG
Molecule: ribosomal RNA, 253 nt
Filed under: uncultured bacterium
Lineage: Bacteria
Description: partial 16S ribosomal RNA
Rfam family: Bacterial small subunit ribosomal RNA
Source: RNAcentral